GGAUUAGGCAUGCAAGUCGAACGUGAUCCAUUACUUCGGUUUUGGUGAAAGUGGCGAAAGGGUGAGUAAUGCAUAGAUAACCUUCCUCCGACUCUGGGAUAACAGGGAGAAAUUCCUGCUAAUACCAGAUAGGCUCAGCGAGUCGCAUGGUUUGCUGAGUAAAGUUGGCCUCUCAACGAUGCUCGCGGUUGGAGACGGGUCUAUGUGCUAUCAGCUAGUUGGUGGGGUAACGGCCUACCAAGGCAAUGACGGCUAGCCGACCUGAGAGGGUGACCGGCCACACUGGGACUGAGACACUGCCCAGACUCCUACGGGAGGCUGCAGUCGAGAAUCUUCCGCAAUGGGCGCAAGCCUGACGGAGCGACGCCGCGUGCGGGAUGAAGGCCUUCGGGUUGUAAACCGCUGUCGAAGGUUAAGAAAAGGCUAGGAGUUAAUAGCUUCUAGUUUUGACAAAAGCCUAGAAGGGAGCCACGGCUAACUUCGUGCCAGCAGCCGCGGUAAGACGAAGGUGGCAACCGUUGUUCGGAAUUACUGGGCAUAAAGAGCUCGUAGGUGGCAUGGCAAGUCGGUUGUGAAAGCCCCUGGCUCAACCAGGGAAUUGCUGCCGAAACUGCUGUGCUUGAGUGUGAGAGGGGAGAGUGGAACUUCCAGUGGAGCGGUGAAAUGCGUAGAUAUUGGAAGGAACGCCGGUGGCGAAAGCGACUCUCUGGCUCACUACUGACACUGAGGAGCGAAAGCUAGGGUAGCGAACGGGAUUAGAUACCCCGGUAGUCCUAGCCGUAAACGAUGGGCACUAAGUAGAGGGGUUUU
Molecule: ribosomal RNA, 810 nt
Filed under: uncultured Planctomycetota bacterium
Lineage: Bacteria; Pseudomonadati; Planctomycetota
Description: bacterial SSU rRNA
Rfam family: Bacterial small subunit ribosomal RNA
Source: RNAcentral